GUGGGGAAUCUUAGACAAUGGGGGAAACCCUGAUCUAGCCAUGCCGCGUGAUCGAUGAAGGCCUUAGGGUUGUAAAGAUCUUUCGCUGGGGAAGAUAAUGACUGUACCCAGUAAAGAAGCCCCGGCUAACUCCGUGCCAGCAGCCGCGGUAAUACGGAGGGGGCUAGCGUUAUUCGGAAUUACUGGGCGUAAAGCGCACGUAGGCGGACCAGAAAGUUGGGGGUGAAAUCCCGGGGCUCAACCUCGGAACUGCCUUCAAAACUCCUGGUCUUGAGUUCGAGAGAGGUGAGUGGAAUUCCGAGUGUAGAGGUGAAAUUCGUAGAUAUUCGGAGGAACACCAGUGGCGAAGGCGGCCAACUGGACGGGAACUGACGCUGAGGUACGAAAGCGUGGGGAGCAAACAGGAUUAGAAACCCCUGUAGUCC
RNAcentral lists this ribosomal RNA (425 nucleotides) under uncultured bacterium. RNAcentral's name for it is "partial 16S ribosomal RNA". It matches the Rfam family "Bacterial small subunit ribosomal RNA", at positions 354 to 796 of the family's 1533-position model. The record is from RNAcentral.